RNAcentral lists this ribosomal RNA (509 nucleotides) under uncultured bacterium. Its description in RNAcentral is "partial 16S ribosomal RNA". It matches the Rfam family "Bacterial small subunit ribosomal RNA", at positions 30 to 523 of the family's 1533-position model. The record is from RNAcentral.
AUUGAACGCUGGCGGCAUGCCUUACACAUGCAAGUCGAACGGCAGCGGGGGAGAAGCUUGCUUUUCCUGCCGGCGAGUGGCGAACGGGUGAGUAAUACAUCGGAACGUGCCCUGUAGUGGGGGGAUAACUAGUCGAAAGAUUAGCUAAUACCGCAUACGACCUGAGGGUGAAAGUGGGGGACCGCAAGGCCUCAUGCUAUAGGAGCGGCCGAUGUCUGAUUAGCUAGUUGGUGGGGUAAAGGCCUACCAAGGCGACGAUCAGUAGCUGGUCUGAGAGGACGAUCAGCCACACUGGGACUGAGACACGGCCCAGACUCCUACGGGAGGCAGCAGUGGGGAAUUUUGGACAAUGGGCGAAAGCCUGAUCCAGCAAUGCCGCGUGUGUGAAGAAGGCCUUCGGGUUGUAAAGCACUUUUGUCCGGAAAGAAAUGGCUCUGGUUAAUACCAGGGGUCGAUGACGGUACCGGAAGAAUAAGGACCGGCUAACUACGUGCCAGCAGCCGCAGUAA